GGCAUCCCCCGAGGACUUGGUGCGAAGAGGAAGCGAGGUGGAGCUCCGUACUGGACCGCAGCUGCUCUUUACUUCUGGCCGUGUGAGCUCGCCGCGGAGAAAAGCACGUGCUUCCCUCACACUAUCUCGUACUUUGGGAGUCAUAAAAACUAGCUGCAGCAUUCCGUGCAUCAGAUGAACUGGGUUUAAAAGCAGCUUCUAAUGGCUUGUGUACAGGAAUUUCCUACCUGUUUCAUACUGCUUUUACGUAAGAAUAGCUUCCACAUGAGGAUGCAUGACAGAGAAAGGCUAAACAGAACAAUGGAAGUAGUAAACAGAAAAAGAAAAAUAUGCAGACAAGUUGGAAAGAUAAUUGGGAACAGGUGCCAAAUAAAUAUACAGUUCUUCACAGACAUGAGAUUUUGAUAUGAUUUUCUUCCCUAAAUGGGAGAAAACCUGUCAACAAGGAACACUACCAGAAGCCAAGUGAGUCUGAAUUCAGAUUGUAGUUAUUGAAACAGAAGUAUUUUUUGAAGUGUCAGGCUGUCGAUGUUUCUAUUUUUGUAGACUCUGCUCUUGCUUGAGAUAAGCGUAUACAAGAAGAUAAUGAAGUCUGGAGAAGAGUACUUAGUGUUUGAAGACAGUUUUGAGCUGAAUUUGCUGAUCCAAAGCUAAAAUGAUUUGAGUCAGCAUAGGUUUAGGCAAAUCACAUCUAGCAAAGAGCAACACAAACAUUGCUUAGAAAAUAGUGCAAGCUGAGCUGUGUCGUUUAAGGUACUUCUUUACAAAUUGCACAGGACAAUCAGGAGUAGUAUCAAACUGCAAUCUUUUGCCAAAAUAGCACCAUUGCAUGGUGUGCCUACAUCCAUUCACGUUGCCUUGAAUCAGCACAGCUGCGAAUGCUUGGCAAGAGCACUGGCAUGUCACUCCUGCAUGCAUACAUGCACCAUGUGGAAAAGGAUAAAAGGUGUCCAGGAUAUCAGUACAGGUGAUCCUUCCCUACGUUCAUAUACAUUUAGUGAUUUUCCUCUCCCCACACCUAAUAUGAGUACGGUGAAACAUCAGCACUAGUUCUUUUGAUCUCCCAGGCCAGCUCAGGGUUUUGGGGCUUGAAACUAACAAAAUUUUCUUUCUAACUCAAGGAAUGCAGGAUUUUUGGACACAUACACGCACAGCAAGCAAACAAAAACAACAACAACAACAAAAAACCAAGAAUAAAUAAAUCUAUGCUUUGCAAGGCUCACAGGGGACCUAACAUCCAGGAACAGCUUUCCAGUUGAUGACUUCCUGCCUCUGUGAAAGAAAUCUGAACAAAAUGUCCUCUAUCAAAUCUUUGUUUAGGGUCCAACUAGUACUUUUCCAGAAGUCCUGAAAAGCUUUUCUACAUCCUUGAAAUUUUCUUAAUCAUUUUUCCUUCUUCAAAAUGCUUAGUCAAAUAAUCUCUUAUGCCCACACAAUCUGAAUUGUUAAAAAUGUCCUAUUCACCUUUUUUUUAAAUUUGUUUGUAUUAUGCACUUUUUUCUCUGUUGUAGAUCUUUGAAAUUCACUAUUUAAAAUGAAAUCCAGCUCUUCCAAAGAAACCCAUCCCACUCUGUCCUUCCAGAGACCUUCUCACUUCAGACAAAAGUGUAUUUUCUUUUGUAUUUCUAAACAUUAGCACAUCUUCCCUUAAAAGCAACAAAAAAGAACAUGGGUUGAUGUUCAAAUUCACGCAAUCCCUCUUGCCGCAGCUGGGAACUCUCCAGUACUUAAAAGUCUCAAGACAUCUUACUUGUUCCUAUUCUUAACGUUUCUACUGAUACCAGGUGGCUGUUCUUUCCAAUAAGCAAUUAUGUUCCUUUGAAGCAACGGCAUUUCUCUGUGGGAAUCAGGGAACAAUAAAUCAGGAAAAAAAACCAAACAAACAGGUCACAAGCUGUACUCAGCCUCACAGGGUGGAGAACAAGCCAUUAUGAAGGACAGAAAAUGGGCAUUGGACUGACUCUGUCAUUCUCUUAUGAAUAAAGAUUUUGCUUUGCUUCAGUAAAACAGCAUUUUGUAACAUAUUUAAAAUUAAAGGCCAUGAAUUGUUCUAUAAA
This is a long non-coding RNA of Gallus gallus (chicken), 2057 nucleotides long. RefSeq lists it as uncharacterized. The record is from RefSeq and is a predicted model, not a curated record. Lineage: Eukaryota; Metazoa; Chordata; Aves; Galliformes; Phasianidae. The transcript is spliced from 2 exons.